UUAUCAGUUUUUCAGGCUAAGCACUUUUUUUUAACUUUACGCUGGAAAGUCUCCCGGGGCUUGAGCCGGCAACCUUCAGGUUGCACGGUCAAGCCUUUAGCUGCCGUUUUGUUGCCCCGGACAAACAGAUGUCCGCUCAUCCGUGUUCGGCGCGACAGUUUGAGGAGCGUGGCGCUGUCGGUAUACGGUCUGCGCGGGGCGUUAGCCGCCCGCCACGCAACUGUUGGUACGAGUGACGUGGUGCGCGUGUAUGCGUGUGUGCCGGGUGUGGCUGGAGGUAUUACGAAGUCAGGGGAAGAGCUCGAUCUCGCCGGUCGCCAAGCUCUCCGCGCUCUCUGCGCUCGCCGCCACCGUCUGCACAGUCCCUCCUCCGUGGGAUGCUUAUGAGGAUUGGCUCUGGACCCCGGCGAUCCUGACCGGGACAAAGGGUUGCUGAGAAUGACUGGAUGGAUAUACAUCUGGGUAAUUCCAGUGGAGCAAUUUAGGGUGGCAGAAACGCUGCGCAAUGGAAGAACACGAGGCCAUGCGGACGCCCUCCCCAGCCUCUCCUUCGAGUGCCCGAUCUUCGGUCCGGGAGAGAGGAUGCUGCGGCGGAGGUGUCCAGGCUGCCCCUCCCCCAGCCGCACGUCCAGCUUCCUGGCUUGGGACAGCAGCUCCUCCUGGGCGUCCUGCCACUUCAUCAGCAGGCGAAGCGUCAGCCUGCCCCCCGGGAGCCCGUAAUGCCAUCAGCCGUACUUAUAACUUUGAUUAUGCGUCACAAUGC
Long non-coding RNA from Scleropages formosus (Asian bonytongue), 763 nucleotides. RefSeq lists it as uncharacterized. Lineage: Eukaryota; Metazoa; Chordata; Actinopteri; Osteoglossiformes; Osteoglossidae. The record is from RefSeq and is a predicted model, not a curated record. The transcript has 3 exons.